AUCUCUUCUCAGCCUUUUGGCUAAGAUCAAGUGUAGUAUCUUCGGAGAACCACUUGAUCCUCUGGCCAGGGGCCAGAAAGCCCGGGGCAUUGCGUCGGGGAUUACCCGACUCACUAUGGGUCAAGCACAUGCACUUUAUGGCUUUUAAGCUUUGCUCCUAUGACACUAU
This 169-nucleotide small nuclear RNA is filed under the name Xenopus laevis (African clawed frog). RNAcentral describes it as "U2 spliceosomal RNA". The stretch from base 1 to 63 matches the Rfam family "U2 spliceosomal RNA". Lineage: Eukaryota; Metazoa; Chordata; Amphibia; Anura; Pipidae. The record is from Rfam by way of RNAcentral.